GACUACCAGGGUAUCUAAGCCCAUUCGCUACCCACGCUUUCGUGCUACAGUGUCAGAUACAGGCCAGUGUGCUGCCUUCGCUUUUGGUGUUCCCCAAGAUAUCAACGGAUUUCACCCCUACACCUUGAGUUCCGCACACCUCUCCUGUCCUCUAGUAUUACCGUUUCGAAUGCUUUUCCCAAGUUGAGCUUGGGUCUUUAACACUCGACUAAUAACACCACCUUUUCACUCUUUACGCCCAAUAAAUCCGGAUAACGCUCGGGGCUCUCGUAUUACCGCUCCUGCUGGCACGAGAUUAGGAGCCCCUUAUUCAUGAGGUACCGUCAAUAAACUUCUUCCCUCAUAAAAGAUCUUUACGCUCCGAAGAGCUUCAUCAAUCACGCGGCGUCGCUCCAUCAGACUUUCGUCCAUUGUGGAAGAUUCUCGACUGCAGCCCCCCGUAGG
This 444-nucleotide ribosomal RNA is filed under the name uncultured bacterium. RNAcentral's name for it is "partial 16S ribosomal RNA". The record is from RNAcentral.